UACGUAGGGUGCAAGCGUUAAUCGGAAUUACUGGGCGUAAAGCGUGCGCAGGCGGUUUUGUAAGUCAGAUGUGAAAUCCCCGGGCUUAACCUGGGAACUGCAUUGGUGACUGGCGGGCUAGAGUAUGGCAGAGGGGGGUAGAAUUCCACGUGUAGCAGUGAAAUGCGUAGAGAUGUGGAGGAAUACCGAUGGCGAAGGCAGCCCCCUGGGCCAAUACUGACGCUCAUGCACGAAAGCGUGGGGAGCAAACAGG
Molecule: ribosomal RNA, 253 nt
Filed under: uncultured bacterium
Lineage: Bacteria
Description: partial 16S ribosomal RNA
Rfam family: Bacterial small subunit ribosomal RNA
Source: RNAcentral